This 465-nucleotide ribosomal RNA is filed under the name uncultured bacterium. RNAcentral's name for it is "partial 16S ribosomal RNA". It matches the Rfam family "Bacterial small subunit ribosomal RNA", at positions 28 to 507 of the family's 1533-position model. The record is from RNAcentral.
GACGAACGCUGGCGGCGUGCUUAACACAUGCCAGUCGUACGGUGAGGCCCUUUCGGGGGUACACGAGUGGCGAACGGGUGAGUAACACGUGAGUAACCUGCCCACAACUUUGGGAUAACGCUAGGAAACUGGUGCUAAUACUGGAUAUGUGCUCCUGCUGCAUGGUGGGGGUUGGAAAGCUCCGGCGGUUGUGGAUGGACUCGCGGCCUAUCAGCUUGUUGGUGGGGUAGUGGCCUACCAAGGCGGCGACGGGUAGCCGGCCUGAGAGGGUGACCGGCCACAGUGGGACUGAGAUACGGCCCAGACUCCUACGGGAGGCAGCAGUGGGGAAUAUUGCACAAUGGGCGCAAGCCUGAUGCAGCAACGCCGCGGGCGGGAGGACGGCCUUCGGGUUGUAAACCGCUUUCAGCAGGGACGAAGCUUUUUGUGACGGUACCUGCAGAAGAAGCACCGGCUAACUACGUG